This is a long non-coding RNA of Syngnathus typhle (broad-nosed pipefish), 788 nucleotides long. RefSeq lists it as uncharacterized. The transcript is spliced from 3 exons. NCBI's taxonomy places the organism in Eukaryota, Metazoa, Chordata, Actinopteri, Syngnathiformes, Syngnathidae. The record is from RefSeq and is a predicted model, not a curated record.
GGCAGCACAAGAGAUGCUCAUUUCCAUCCCUGAAGACAUCUCCAGAGAUGCCUGGCUGGCAGCAGCUUGGAAGCAGGAGUGGGAGGCAGCUGGCCCCUCCCUCAUGCACAGUUAUGUCUGGGAACCAGGAGACGGCGCCAUAGGAGGAGACGAACUACCUCGCCAGCAGUGGACCACACUGAACCGCUUAAGAACUGGUGUUGGGCGCUUCAACAUGUCUAGUGGGGUCUGGCGGACAGUGCGGCAUGCGAGUGCGGAGCCCUCGAGCAGACAGCCGACCACACCAUCAACACCUACACCAACAUAUAGACCACCCUCAGAGGCCGGCCUCUUCGACCUGGGACCAGAGAUGCUGGCGUGGCUCCACGACACCAAGUUGGAGCGCUGACGUUACACGAGAGAGAGAGCGAGAGAGAGAGCGAGAGAGAGAGAGAGAGAGAGAGAGAGAGAGAGAGAGAGAGAGACUCCCAAACCAGGGUGGCAAGAAGCAGGACUUCUCAUUCCUCUCACAGGGAGAGCCAAGACUUUCCAAAAGACCUGUACAACGGAGGCCAGCAUCAUGAAACACAAACUCCCAAACCAGCAUGGUAACAUGAAACACAAACUCCCAAACCAGCAUGGUAACACACAGGACUUCUUCUGAUUCUUCUUAUGUUCUUGGGUCUUGCCUGUGGUUCUACACGCAUCCAGAAAUGCAGACAAAGAACAGCUUGGCCUUUAACAGUCGGAAGCCUCUGAUUUUACUCUACUAAGCCUCAGAUACAGUCUGUUUUCUGUUCUCAUUCAGU